GAACAUCCUAUAAGGAUCAGAGAAGGAAAAAAGAAACAUGGUGAAUGGAGAAUGAACUUUGGAUUUGGAAAGAAUAGAACAAAAAUGGCUAAUGAGGGAGAAGAGAUUGUCCGCUAGUCUUUCAAGCAUGCCCAGAUCUGCCUUUCCUAUGAGUGAAUACUAAGCAUCUAACAGAUCUGUCUGCCUGAUUCCAAUAUAUACAUACAAAUUGGUGAACCUACUUCUGCCCAUGUAUGAAUCAUGAAUCAUCACCCCUUCCGGUCUGAUUCUUCAUAACCACAGAGCACCAGAUCUCAUUCACUGAAAAAGGAAAAGUUCUUAACAAUUGAAGGAUAUGGAAUAAAUAAUUGACAACAAUAAAUGAAUAGGUGGUUAAAUCCAUUACCAUGAAAGGAAUCACACAGGCAAGUUGUACAUACAAGUAAGUAGUAACACAACAAAUGAUGUAAAUAAACAAGAUGCUAUAAAAGAUUUCCAUGAGUCCCAGAAGGAAG
Molecule: long non-coding RNA, 494 nt
Filed under: Sarcophilus harrisii (Tasmanian devil)
Lineage: Eukaryota; Metazoa; Chordata; Mammalia; Dasyuromorphia; Dasyuridae
Description: lncRNA (ENSSHAG00000028303.1)
Source: RNAcentral